UGUAUUCAACUUUUCAAUUGUGCAUAGGUUAUCACAGGUAUUAAACAAUAUGUCACAUUCCUGACUAAUUUAUUUUCAAAUAUCUACUGCCUAGACAAUGCCUAGCCUGGUGCCUGGCCUCAUGCAGUGGCUCUCUGAUGUGAACAUACUGAAUAAUGUCAUCACUGUCAGCCAUCUUUGAGGAAUCAUGAAAAGUGCCAGAACUAAAGCAGGGAAAAUGUGUCUUCUCAAAACUACAAAAUAAUGAGUUUACUGAAGAUACCUAGCAGCUUGCUAGGAUGGAUUGAGAGUCUUCAGGGAAUGAAGCACUGAGUCUGACCUAGAAGGGGACCUCAGAAAGCAAUGAAGAAACCUUUCCUUUGUUACUUCCUUCCUUGGUGAUUGCCUGCCUUCUUCACCAAUAUACUGGAGUUACAGAAUGCGGUGAUAUGUACUUUACAAUGGGAUUAAAUAUGGCAACAUGGCUAGAUCUGCACAAAUCUGGAACUCUCGUUCUGUUUGUGCUAUAGAGUAAGUAUCCUUAUGUAAGUGUUCUUUCACUUGUGAUUUCUUCUACACAGUCCCUCAAUCAUUCUGCAGUAAAGCUCAGGCUUUUUAGCUCAAGGUUGAUGGACAAAAUGAUGGAAGGGGGAAGGACGUGACUUGCAUUCAUAUAUAUUGUGUUUCUUAAAACUGGGAAACCUCCAUUGCAUUAUAAAGGUCUAGAUGAAAAUAUGAGGUAAUGUUCAGCUGAAACCAUCAAAAUUAUAAGCUCUCCUAAAUUAGCUUGAAAACUCAUCAGUAGUAUAAAGACUUUAGUUUCUCGAUAGCACAGUGGAUUGAGAUUAGGUGAUUAUUCAUACCUGCCCAAAUGUCCCUGGGUAACAAGGAUAGGUAAAACCAAGGCAAUGUGACACAUUUGAAAGUUGCUGAGUUGAAUAUGAGAUGUAAGCAAAACCGUCCAAAGCUGUGAUUGAAUACUAGGAUUAGUCCUUCAGUACAUUGGGUUUUAUUUUUUAUUUUUCCAGGCAGGUUAAGGUUUUAGAAAUGUGACCUCAGUACUAACUAAAACUCAUCCUAAUUAAAGAGAAUGUCUAAUGAUAAUAAAGUCUUGAGACUAAUCUUUGGGCA
RNAcentral lists this long non-coding RNA (1110 nucleotides) under Felis catus (domestic cat). RNAcentral describes it as "lncRNA (ENSFCAG00000046450.2)". Lineage: Eukaryota; Metazoa; Chordata; Mammalia; Carnivora; Felidae. The record is from RNAcentral.